Malus domestica (apple) is the source of this 1310-nucleotide non-coding RNA. Lineage: Eukaryota; Viridiplantae; Streptophyta; Magnoliopsida; Rosales; Rosaceae. The record is from RefSeq and is a predicted model, not a curated record.
GAGGGGAAAGAAGAGCAAAAGCAAAAGCAAAACCCAAACCGAAACCGGAGCUCCGAAGAGCCAAAAACCAAAACCACCAAAUCGCGAAAUCGACAAAAAAUGGCAGAAUCCUCCAGCAGCGGGCUGACGUUCAAGCUCCAUCCACUGGUGAUCGUCAACAUCUCCGAUCACUACUCUAGGGUUAAGUCCCAGAUGCACCCGCCGAUCACCAACACUCCAACACCACCACCCAACAACAGCGCUGAAGGAGCAGUAGAAGCAGCAGCAGCCUCCUCUUCUUCCUCCUCCUCCACCGCCUCCGCCUCGUCUCCGCGGGUCUUCGGCUGCGUUAUCGGGGUUCAGAGAGGCCGCACGGUCGAGAUCUUCAACAGCUUCGAGCUCCUCUACGAUCCCGAGACUCACUCCCUCGACCGCGCCUUCCUCGAGAAGAAGCAAGAGCUCUAUAAGAAGGUGUUUCCACACUUUUACAUACUGGGGUGGUACUCCACUGGAACAGAUGCUCAGGAAUCUGACAUGAACAUCCACAAAGCUUUGAUGGAUAUCAAUGAAAGCCCUGUUUAUGUUCUUCUCAACCCUUUGAUCAAUGCUGCUCAAAAGGAUCUCCCAAUCACUAUUUACGAAAGUGAGAUGCAUGUCAUUGAUGGGAUUCCACAGCUAAUCUUCGUCAGUUCAAGCUAUACUAUUGAGACUGUGGAAGCUGAGCGCAUUUCAGUUGACCAUGUUGCCCAUCUUAAACCAUCUGAUGGAGGUUCAGCAAACUCAAUGUGAGUCCUCAUGGCUGCUCAUCUUACUGGAAUUCACAGUGCCAUCAAGAUGCUAAAUAGCAGAAUUAGAGUGCUUCAUCACUAUCUUCUUGCUAUGCAGAAAGGUGAUAUACCUUGUGAAAAUUCACUGCUAAGACAAGUAUCAAGUCUUCUGAGAAGGUUGCCUGCCAUAGAAUCGGGGAAAUUUCAAGAUGAUUUCUUGAUGGAAUACAAUGACACUUUGUUGAUUACAUAUUUGGCUGUGCUGACCAACUGCUCAAGUACAACGAAUGAGCUGGUCGACAAGUUCAACACCGCAUAUGAUAGGCACAGUCGAAGAGGUGGACGGACUGCUUAUUUCUGAAAGCUGCUUUGCCAUAAUAUGUAGUAGUGUUUAGUUUCUUUGAGAACCUUUUGGGUGCUGCUGGAUUUGUUUGACUGCAUAAUGCAUAGCACAUAGAAGUGUAGAAAUUGAAAUAUUACUCGGACCUUGAUCAUUCGAAAAGAAAAUCACACCUUACAUUAUUUCACCGUAUAAAUGCUAUAAUUUGAACGGUUUUCUUUUUA